UACAGAGGGUGCGAGCGUUGUUCGGAAUUAUUGGGCGUAAAGGGCGCGUAGGCGGUGCGGUAAGUCACCUGUGAAAUCUCCUGGCUCAACUGGGAGCUUGCAGGCGAAACUGCCGUGCUGGAGUGUGGGAGAGGUGCGUGGAAUUCCGGGUGUAGCGGUGGAAUGCGUAGAGAUCCGGAAGAACACCGGUGGCGAAGGCGGCCUGCUGGGCAGUUUUGCUGACACUGAGGCGCGACAGCGUGGGGAGCAAACAGG
This 255-nucleotide ribosomal RNA is filed under the name uncultured bacterium. RNAcentral describes it as "partial 16S ribosomal RNA". It matches the Rfam family "Bacterial small subunit ribosomal RNA", at positions 524 to 776 of the family's 1533-position model. The record is from RNAcentral.